This 48-nucleotide transfer RNA is filed under the name Humbertia madagascariensis. RNAcentral describes it as "partial tRNA-Phe". The record is from RNAcentral. Lineage: Eukaryota; Viridiplantae; Streptophyta; Magnoliopsida; Solanales; Convolvulaceae.
UCGGGAUAGCUCAGCUGGUAGAGCANAGGACUGAAAAUCCUCGUGUCA